GACGAACGCUGGCGGCGUGCUUAACACAUGCAAGUCGAACGGAAAGGCCCUGCUUUUGUGGGGUGCUCGAGUGGCGAACGGGUGAGUAACACGUGAGUAACCUGCCCUUGACUUUGGGGUAACUUCAGGAAACUGGGGCUAAUACCGGAUAGGAGCUCCUGCUGCAUAGUGGGGGUUGGAAAGUUUCGGCGGUUGGGGAUGGACUCGCGGCUUAUCAGCUUGUUGGUGGGGUAGUGGCUUACCAAGGCUUUGACGGGUAGCCGGCCUGAGAGGGUGACCGGCCACAUUGGGACUGAGAUACGGCCCAGACUCCUACGGGAGGCAGAAGUGGGGAAUAUUGCACAAUGGGCGGAAGCCUGAUGCAGCAACGCCGCGUGCGGGAUGACGGCCUUCGGGUUGUAAACCGCUUUCGCCUGUGACGAAGCGUGAGUGACGGUAAUGGGUAAAGAAGCACCGGCUAACUACGUG
RNAcentral lists this ribosomal RNA (468 nucleotides) under uncultured bacterium. RNAcentral describes it as "partial 16S ribosomal RNA". It matches the Rfam family "Bacterial small subunit ribosomal RNA", at positions 28 to 507 of the family's 1533-position model. The record is from RNAcentral.